CAGCAUUGUCUAGCUUGCUAGACAGAUGGCGAGUGGCGAACGGGUGAGUAACGCGUAGGAAUAUGCCUUGAAGAGGGGGACAACUUGGGGAAACUCAAGCUAAUACCGCAUAAUGUCUGAGGACGAAAGCUGGGGACCUUCGGGCCUGGCGCUUUAAGAUUAGCCUGCGUCCGAUUAGCUAGUUGGUGGGGUAAGGGCCUACCAAGGCGACGAUCGGUAGCUGGUCUGAGAGGAUGACCAGCCACACUGGAACUGAGACACGGUCCAGACUCCUACGGGAGGCAGCAGUGGGGAAUAUUGGACAAUGGGGGCAACCCUGAUCCAGCAAUGCCGCGUGUGUGAAGAAGGCCUGAGGGUUGUAAAGCACUUUCAGUGGGGAGGAGGGUUGAUAGGUUAAGAGCUGAUUAACUGGACGUUACCCACAGAAGAAGCACCGGCUAACUCCGUGCCAGCAGCCGCGGUAAUACGGAGGGUGCGAGCGUUAAUCGGAAUUACUGGGCGUAAAGGGUGCGUAGGUGGUUGAUUAAGUUAUCUGUGAAAUUCCUGGGCUUAACCUGGGACGGUCAGAUAAUACUGGUUGACUCGAGUAUGGGAGAGGGUAGUGGAAUUUCCGGUGUAGCGGUGAAAUGCGUAGAGAUCGGAAGGAACACCAGUGGCGAAGGCGGCUACCUGGCCUAAUACUGACACUGAGGCACGAAAGCGUG
RNAcentral lists this ribosomal RNA (704 nucleotides) under Legionella pneumophila subsp. pneumophila. Its description in RNAcentral is "bacterial SSU rRNA". It matches the Rfam family "Bacterial small subunit ribosomal RNA", at positions 67 to 763 of the family's 1533-position model. Lineage: Bacteria; Pseudomonadati; Pseudomonadota; Gammaproteobacteria; Legionellales; Legionellaceae. The record is from RNAcentral.